AGAUCAUUGACAGGCCUGAGAGUUUUCCAUACGGCCUGCACCCUAACCUCUGGGAAGAAAAUAUCCACAAUGAAAUUUCUACAAGAUUAGAGGAAGGAGAGAGGCAACGGGGAUUCCAUUUCUACUAGGAGUAUCAACCUCUGAGAGGGAUAUAUCCAUCUCUGUGGAUGUCAUCUGCUCUGCAGAAAACCCUUUCUUGGAACUACCAGGAAACAUGAAUCUGAUGUGGACCCUCCUCCUUUUCCUCCUUUUGGACGUAACUGUCUUCAUUCCAGCCCUGCCCUUCUCAACACGACAUUUAGACAACCCCAGGUCGUGGGUCCCUAGAGGACACCACCGAUACUGUGAUGUGAUGAUGAGGUGCCGUUGGCUGAUCUAUAGGGGUAAAUGCGAGCAGAUCCACACAUUCAUUCAUAGAAUCUGACCACCAUAGCAGAUUUCUGCAGAACUCCACCACUGCCCUGUACCAACAGCCCCUCCAUGUGCAGCUGCCACAACAGUACUCAUGAUGUCAAUGUCACUGACUGCUUUGCCAGCACAGGGACCCGACCUCUUCACUGCCACUACCAAAAAUAAGAAGGAGUCCACCAGGCCCAUGCGAGUGGGCUGCAAGAAGGGGGCAUCUGUUCACCUGGAUGGCUAGGUUCCUCCUGACAACGGCACCUGAAUGACUUGCACCCUACGCCUUCAAAUCUGUGCAGCACUGUCAAGGUCUUCUUUGUAAAUGCUUCGUCCUUUGCACGCAGGCUCCUGCGUCUUUCUUACAGCCUGUUCCCCACCAACCCCAUGUGCCCUACCCCUGCCACAGUGUCAGGGCUUUUGGUGGAGGAUAAGGCUGCAGUGGAGGGUUGGUGGGAGGGAGCCUGAAUUACGGAAAUAAUACUCGGGAAAAGACUUGCUCCAACCAAGCUGCUAGACAAUCCCCUUCUCCUGGGGCUGAUCUUCCCACCAGCUGCUCUCAUAAAACCUCCUGAUGGCUGGCCCUAGGUUUCCUGGAUCAUAGGGUCCUUCUGCCUUCUGCGGGACAUUCUAUGCCUUUCUCCUCAAUGGGCUCCUUCGGAGGGUAUUAGGGACGAUACCCUGGCGGGAAACCGCUUCCUUUAGGGAAACAAAUCACUGUGGCUCCAGGGGUGUCACCGGAAAAAGCCGUUUCCGGAGAAGCCGGAGGAGCUUGGGCAACUCCGCAGGCCCAGAGCCUUCGUGGUCUCCCAGUUCCCGUGGCCGUCGUAUUGGUCGGCAGGGGGCGCCGCGCCACAAGCUUCCUGCACAAGAGUCCAAAACUUCUUUCUUGGUUUCCUUUGAGACAGGCUGCAGGUUUCUUGGUUGCUGACACGGGUAGACGAUAAUAGGUGAAUAAACAAAAUCCAGCCAGCAUAAAUACAGUCUAACUGUUGAAGAACAGAUUUCUGAGUCUACCAUAACUUUCAUACACUGCAGCACUUUAACGUUGAACCUGCCACCUUCAGAUUCACACUGCAGCACCUCAGGUAAGAAGGAAAGGAAGUGAAUAUGCACUGAGGACCUACUUGUGUUAUGAGCUUUACAGUUCAGCUGCGCUGGAGAAGAGUUUAUUUCUUUCAUGGAAUCCAUUACAUCACCGAUCCCCUUCUGAAGGAGGUUAUUUUAUCCACGAGAGGAAGCAUCCAAAGGUGUUCAUAUUCUCUACCCUGUGACUCCAGCAGAAUGGUGACAAGGUUUUGAAGCAAAGGAGGGCACUUGACUCUAGGGCAGCCGUCCAUUAACUGACUAGCCCGGUGCCUGUGGAACAGAGUUGCGUGAGGAUUUUACCCUUUUGGAAUAAUCCAGUGACAAAACUGGAUACUAUUACUUUCAUUCCUUCCCCCGAUGCCAGGAGGUAUAGCUGUUUUGCCUUUGUUCUUGACAUUCAGCACUUAGCCUAAUGCUCGCUAUAAAAGUGCCUUCAAGAAAUCUUUAAGGGGCCAUUUUGGUAGGUCUGGUUGUUGCUGUGGAUCUUUUGUAGAUGCCCAUUUUUAGAUUAGAAAAGUUUCUUCCCUUCUGCUCCUGUUUAUGUCUCUUGAAUGGAUUGGGAAUUUCGUUGAAUGAUGGGAUUAUACAGCAUAUUUCUUUAAUCAGUUAAUGGGGUGAAUUAGAUUAGUUGAUUUUAG
This 2126-nucleotide long non-coding RNA is filed under the name Homo sapiens (human). Its description in RNAcentral is "non-protein coding lnc-RNASE1-1:2". Lineage: Eukaryota; Metazoa; Chordata; Mammalia; Primates; Hominidae. The record is from RNAcentral.